This 497-nucleotide ribosomal RNA is filed under the name uncultured bacterium. RNAcentral describes it as "partial 16S ribosomal RNA". It matches the Rfam family "Bacterial small subunit ribosomal RNA", at positions 28 to 507 of the family's 1533-position model. The record is from RNAcentral.
GAUGAACGCUGGCGGCGUGCCUAAUACAUGCAAGUCGAGCGAACAGACGAGGAGCUUGCUCCUCUGACGUUAGCGGCGGACGGGUGAGUAACACGUGGAUAACCUACCUAUAAGACUGGGAUAACUUCGGGAAACCGGAGCUAAUACCGGAUAAUAUCUUGAACCGCAUGGUUCAUUAGUGAAAGACGGUUUUGCUGUCACUUAUAGAUGGUUCCGGGCGGCUUUAGCUGGUUGGUAAGGUAACGGCUUACCAAGGCGACGAUGCGUAGCCGACGUGAGAGGGUGGUCGGCGACACUGGAGCUGGAACGCGGACAAGGCGCCUGAGGGAGGCAGCAGUAUGGUAUCUGCCGCAAUGGGCGGAAGCCUUACGGAGCAACGCGGAGUGAGUGAUGGAGAUCCUCGGAUCGUAAUACUCUGUUAUGAGGGAAGAACAGAUUUGUAAGUAACUAAGGACUGCGUGACGGUACCUGGUCAGAAAGCCACGGCUAACUACGUG